UACGUAGGGGGCAAGCGUUGUCCGGAUUUAUUGGGCGUAAAGAGCGUGUAGGCGGCUAGGUAGGUCCGUUGUGAAAACUCGAGGCUCAACCUCGAGACGCCGAUGGAAACCAUCUGGCUAGAGUCCGGAAGAGGAGAGUGGAAUUCCUGGUGUAGCGGUGAAAUGCGCAGAUAUCGUAAGGAAGGCCGGUGGCGAAAGCGAGCCUCUGGACAGUUACUGACGCUGAUGCACGAAGGCCAGGGGAGCAAACGGG
This 253-nucleotide ribosomal RNA is filed under the name uncultured bacterium. RNAcentral's name for it is "partial 16S ribosomal RNA". It matches the Rfam family "Bacterial small subunit ribosomal RNA", at positions 524 to 776 of the family's 1533-position model. The record is from RNAcentral.